AAACAACGUCGCACACUCGCUUCGCUUCGAAAGUUUGAACUUUUGUCAACAAAGUCAACAACGUAAAAGGAUAUAACAAACACUGAAUAUGAACGUGAAAAGACAACAAGCUUGUCAGAAAAUGUUGAUUCUGAAGGCGGUUGGACACAGAUUGCAUCGCAAAUCCACCCUGCAUUGGUGCCGAGUCCGGAUUUCGAUCAGCUGUUGUGACUGUGCUGCUGGCGGUGUUACUGUUUGACAGAAUGCGAGAUAUUCCCUUCUGCUUUUCAGUAUUCAUACUUGACUGUCAUCUCACCAGAUAUCUGAAUGAUGUCAUUGGGAGAAACGCCACUGUCUGUCAACUUCUGGACCAGGUGUUUCCUCAUACUGAAAUGAUUCAGUUCUCAUGCCGAAGUUCAGACAACAAAUCAUCCACAUGGUGUGAAGGAGGCUGUGUUGGUUAUCACUUCCGAGGGUCUUGGCAUCGUACAUGGCAUCAAUAUCCAUAUCUGACAGCUCUUC
Molecule: long non-coding RNA, 501 nt
Organism: Haliotis rufescens (red abalone)
Lineage: Eukaryota; Metazoa; Mollusca; Gastropoda; Lepetellida; Haliotidae
Exons: 4
Source: RefSeq, a predicted model, not a curated record